Long non-coding RNA from Peromyscus leucopus (white-footed mouse), 676 nucleotides. RefSeq lists it as uncharacterized. The transcript is spliced from 2 exons. Lineage: Eukaryota; Metazoa; Chordata; Mammalia; Rodentia; Cricetidae. The record is from RefSeq and is a predicted model, not a curated record.
CCACCAGGAAUUGAGAGAGGAAAGACCCCAGUGCAGGAUCAUCCACCACAGUCUCUCUUAGCAUCUCCACCUACAGUGUCUUGUUCAGCAUAGCUCCUGACCCACACUGAGCCAACUCACAUGCUGACUUGGGUGAGCCGGAAGUCAGUGUGUUGGUUACUUUUCUUAUUGUUGUGACUGAACACCAGACAAGAAGCAAGUUAAGAGACGGAUGGUCUGCGCUGGCUCACAGUUGGAGAGUCUCCUCCAUCAUGGUGGGGAAGCCUUGCUGCUUAGAGCAUGUGGCUUGCCAGUAAGAACUCGGAGGCUAUUUUCACACUUCUUGGAAGAUCAGGUAUCAACACCAGUGGGCAGGAAUGGCUGCUGCUCUCUGGACCUAUGCUGUACUCCAAGGAUGCGCAAAGGCAGUGUGAGCACAUGCAAGGGUGCUGGUGCACACCUUUAUGGGCCAGGAACUCCCCUAAGAGCUCUGACUUGAGAACAGUUCACCAGAUUGCUGGCUCUUACAGGAUGCAGAGGAUUUCCCUGCUUGUUCAUGCUUGCCCUGGCACCUUCCAGGCAUUUCUCUAGUGGUCUCCAACAUUCACAUCUGACCCUACCCUUACAUCUGCUUCUUAGAAGAUGUGGGUAGUACAACUGUAUUUUUCAAUACUCAUAAAGAACAAAAAUCAACAAU